CCCUUAGAUGUCCUGGGCUGCACGCGUGCUACAAUGAUACGUGCAACGAGUUAAUCCUGCUCUGGAAGGAGUGGGUAAUCUUAUGAAUGCGUAUCGUGCUUGGGAUUGACCAUUGUAAUUAUUGGUCAUGAACGAGGAAUUCCUAGUAAGCACAAGUCAUCAGCUUGUGCUGAUUACGUCCCUGCCCUUUGUACACACCGCCCGUCGCUCCUACCGAUUGAGUGUUCCGGUGAAUUAUUCGGACUGCAACAGUUAUCUGUCGCGGAAAGUCUUGUGAACCUUAACACUUAGAGGAAGGAAAAGUCGUAACA
This 311-nucleotide ribosomal RNA is filed under the name uncultured eukaryote. Its description in RNAcentral is "partial 18S ribosomal RNA". It matches the Rfam family "Eukaryotic small subunit ribosomal RNA", at positions 1470 to 1796 of the family's 1831-position model. The record is from RNAcentral.